Long non-coding RNA from Lates calcarifer (barramundi perch), 2239 nucleotides. RefSeq lists it as uncharacterized. The transcript has 5 exons. Lineage: Eukaryota; Metazoa; Chordata; Actinopteri; Centropomidae. The record is from RefSeq and is a predicted model, not a curated record.
UAGUCAAACACAACAGUUGUCACCCGUGCACCAAAUAUGGUACACUAUCAGUUCAGACUGAUAUAACAAUGUUACCAAAGCAUUUCUUAUGAAAGCUUGGUUAUGAAAGCCUGCUGUCGCUGCAACACCUUGGCUAAACGCUGUCACGUCGGGACGCCAGUAGUGGUCAGUCUGACUUUUUGACACUAAUAUCUGCGUUGGAGGACUUCACGACCAAAGUCAGCGAAGAUCACCAGACACAGACAAUCCUUGGUCCCUGAGCACGUUGUCGUUUCCCCUCGGGCCCAUUAUCAGAUCCCCUCUGUAGGCUCCCAGCAGCUGCAGUUAUUGUGGAAGACUCUACUUUUAUAGCCUCAUGAUGUCUGUGACAACACCAGCUUUUAUGACAGAAGACCCAUUCCCUCAGAGGUGCUCCGCUUCCUAAAGCAACGACUUCGCCUGAAUGACGUGGCUUGCACUGUGUGCCAGUGGUUCAUCUUCAGCAUUCCGCCACGCUUCCCUUUGACCUCAGUGUUUCUCAGACGGGGACAAUAUGGAGGCCGAAGCCCUGGCCCUGCAGUUUGAGCUGGUCUCCAUGGUAACUAGUGGCGGUCGUAGGCAGUGGCAGCAGUGGGAGGUGCGGAGCCACGGGAUGCGGCACUAUAAUAAUAAGGGGAACCUGAAAGUUAACAGAAGAACGAGCCGUUGGAAACCAUGAGGUCAAACUUCAACAUGAGGCAGCCAGCCAGCCACGGUGCUAUUCCAGCCGCUGUCAAUCAACAGGCUAUCAUAGCCUUUGAUGACAACGUCGUGUCGCGGCGAGAACAGCAGCUGUCUCUUAUGAGAAGUGCUCCCAGUCAAUCUGUUAGCGGGCCAAUCCAGGCUAACACAAUAGCCAGUUAGGAGCAGCGUGUGAAAGGCCUGUAGGAUUUAAUGGGCUCAGAUGAUAUAUCACCUCGCUCUGGAAAUAAACACACGGAGUGCCUCCAAAAAAAAAAAAAAAAAAAAAAAAGUGCCAUGAAAGAGGAGCUUUUUCAUUUGGUGAUAAGAAUUAUAUCACUGGAAAAUGUGCAUGCCAUCAGGAAGUGGCAGCCAAAACUGAUGAGUCAAUGAUGAUGCAAUAUCUUAAAUAAGAAGUAGCUGAAUGUGAUUUUUUCAAUACCAAAUCCACUCAGAGAAUUUAUUCUAAAUUUGUGAUGUUUAAAAUUGUAAUCCAUUCAUCCCUGACAAUAAUAUGCACAAUGAGUUACUAUAUGUAAAAGUGAAAGCCCAAAAAAGUCAGCAAUGUGUCCCCUCAAACCCACAUCUCAACUGACAGGAUGCGACUGAGAGACUUUGCAGCAGAAACAAAGCUAAACACACUAUAUUUGUGUUCUGAACAAUGAGUCCUGCAAAAUCGACCACCAAGAUGUCUUCGACCUGCUGCUUCUGCUAUGCGCAUUCUUUCAGGGAUCAAUGUAGCAUGAGUCAGAUUGUACCUGUCACAACAGAGUAGCUCUGGGAGACACUGGAGGCGAGGUCGGAGCUGGCACUGGUGGAGAGGCUUGGCUUCACGUCUUCCAGGCCAGCAUUCAGGGAUGGGAGAGAGUACUCAUUCGCCUGUAGACAAACACGCAACAAAUGCAAAAAAUAUGUCAGCGGAGAGAUGCACCUGUGAAUAGGUGGCAGUCUGAAACUUUCAAUUCAAACUUUUUAUAUUUAAUAUAAUUUCACAUUCCACCAGACUGUGUCAUGAUCUGGUUAAUAUCACUGCCAUACUACACGCGAGCCCACUUUGAGUUACAGAUCUACUAGUUUAAGUGACAAUAUGUGAAAUAUGUCUGAGGAUAACCCCUGGUGUAUUUGAGAGAGCUGUCUGUGAUCCUCUCACUGUGUUUCCAUCUGAAUAUUUCCUGUGAAUUCUGUGUACACUCUGCGCCCCUCUCUCAGCCCAUCCUGUCCCCGCUCCCUGUGCUUUACCAAGGCCCAUGAUGUAUGCAUGCAUUAAGGCUUGUCUGAGGAGAAGGCAGAAAGGGAGAGAGGGAUGAGAGAGGGAUUGGGAGAGGAGUGAAAGGACGGGGUGUCAGCUGGCUCUUUGUGCUCCACUGCAGUCAUCCCUGUGACCAGUCAAGGGAGGAGACAUUCAGGGCUUUGUUACAGGAGAGACAUGUGGUGUUUUUUUUUUUUUUUUAAAGGGGAGUACAACCUCAAAAUCAACCUUUGUGCUUUGCCUCCAGGAUGAACACAUAAACCUGGGUUAAUAAAAUGAUAAAAUACUGAG